Molecule: long non-coding RNA, 292 nt
Organism: Micropterus dolomieu (smallmouth bass)
Lineage: Eukaryota; Metazoa; Chordata; Actinopteri; Centrarchiformes; Centrarchidae
Exons: 3
Source: RefSeq, a predicted model, not a curated record
CUGCCUGCUGGUUACCAUGACAACGCCUACUGUGCUGGGUAGGAGCAGCCCUGCAGGCUCUGUCAGGACAGAAAAUACAGAAAUUUCUUAGUGACUGAGGGACCAAUGCAGCAACACGUGCCAGUGCCCCACCUCUCAAAACCUCCUCUCCUCCAACAUUGUCCAUUUCCAGUACGGCUGUGUACCAAGGCACCCCAGCUCACCCAUGUUGCAAACCCUUUCCUUUCUAACCUUUAUGCCCUCUGGAAUACUGGGGUUUGGGGACCACAUUUCCCACUACUGUGGGUUCACA